GCCCCUGUUGUCUAAUGGUUAUGACGUCAGACUUCUACCAUAGUUCAUCUGGAGGUUGCGGGUUCGAGUCCCGCCAGGGGUU
Molecule: non-coding RNA, 82 nt
Organism: Termitomyces sp. T159_Od127
Lineage: Eukaryota; Fungi; Basidiomycota; Agaricomycetes; Agaricales; Lyophyllaceae
Source: the annotation of a GenBank genome assembly